RNAcentral lists this long non-coding RNA (301 nucleotides) under Homo sapiens (human). RNAcentral's name for it is "non-protein coding lnc-IFIT2-1:10". The record is from RNAcentral. Lineage: Eukaryota; Metazoa; Chordata; Mammalia; Primates; Hominidae.
CAUUUCAUAUUUGCAAGUACACAUAAAGGUAUCCUUCAUCAGCAGCACAGUGCUUCCUUUCCUCUGAAUCUGCCAUCAGCUCAGGCAGAUUUCUAAGCAGCAAAUCAGCCUUUGCCAGAACACUGCAGGACACCAGUGCAGCGCCCAGCCUGCGACCAUGAGGCUCUAGGGGAUGGUAGAGUCACAGGAUGGAAGAACUCUGUGUCCUUGAAUCAUUGCAUGGAAGAGAACUGGAAGUUGCCCAGGAACACCAGCCUUGGACAGUUAUGUGAACAAGAAAUAAACUUCUUUUACAGUGUCA